Molecule: long non-coding RNA, 2165 nt
Organism: Gorilla gorilla gorilla (western lowland gorilla)
Lineage: Eukaryota; Metazoa; Chordata; Mammalia; Primates; Hominidae
Exons: 5
Source: RefSeq, a predicted model, not a curated record
CCCAGGUGAGCAUCAGACUGCCUGGAAUAGCACCCCACAACCCCAUGUGAGAAUCUGACAACCUGGAACUGCACCGCACACCCCCAGGUGAGCAUUUGACAUUCUGGAACAGCACCCUACACCCCAACGUGAGCAUCUGACAUCCUGGAACAGCACCCCACACCUCCAGGUGAGCAUCUGACAGCCUGGAGCAGCACACCACACCCCCAGGUGAGCAUCUGACAGCCUUGAACCGCACCCCACACCCCCACGUGAGCAUCUGACAGCCUGGAACAGCACCCCAGACUUCCAGGUGAGCGUCUGACAGCCUGGAAUAGCACCCCACACCGCCAGGUGAGCAUCUGAUAGCCUGGAACAGCACCCACACGCCCAGGUGAGCAUCUGACAUCCUGGAACAGCACCCCACUCCCCCAGGUGAGCAUCUGACAGCCUGGAACAGCACCCCACUCCCCCAGGUGAGCAUCUGACAGCCUGGAACAGUACCCCACACCCGCAGGUGAGCAUCUGACAGCCUGGAACAGUACCCCACACCCGCAGGUGAGCAUCUGACAGCCUGGAACACCACCCCACACCCCCAGGUGAGCAUGUGACAGCCUGGAACAGCACCCCAUACCCCCAGGUGAGCAUCUGACAUCCUGGAACAGCACCCCACACCCGUGGUGAGCAUCUGACAGCCUGGAACCGCAUCCUACACACCCACGUGACCAUCUAACAUCCUGGAAUCGUACCCCACACCCCCAGGUGAGCAUCUAACAGCCUGGAGCAUCACCCCACACAUCCAGGGGAGCAUCUGACCGCCUGGAACAGCACGCCACGCCCCCACGAGAGCAUCUGACAGUCUGGAACAGCACCCCACACCUCCAGGUGAGCAUCCGACAGCCUGAAGCAGCACCCACACCCCCAGGCGAGCAUCUGACAUCCUGGAACAGCACCCCACACCCCCAGUUGAGCAUCUGACAGCCUGGAACAGCACCACACACCCCCAGGUGACCAUCUGACAUCCUGGAACAGCACCCCACAAUCCCAGGUGAGCAUCUGACAGCCUUGAACAGCAUCCCACACCCACAGGUGAGCAUCUGACAACCUGGAACAGCACCCCACACCCCAAGUUCAGCAUCUGACAGUCUGGAACGACACCCUACACCCCCACGUGAGCAUGUGACAUCCUGGAACAGCACCCCGCACCCCCACCUGAGCAUCUGACAGCCUGGAGCAGCACCCCACACCUCCAGGGGAGAAUCUGACAGCCUGGAACAGCACCCCACACCCCCACGUGAGCAUCUGACAGGCUGAAACAGCACCCCACACCUCCAGGUGGGCAUCCGACAGCCUGGAGCAGCACCCGCAUCCCAGGUGAGCAUCCGACAGCCUGGAACAGCAGCUCACAUCCCCAGAGGAGCAUCUGAUGGUCUGCAACAGCACCCUAAAACUUCAGGUGAGGAUCUGACAGCCUGGAAGAGCAGUGCCUACCCCCGAGUUAGCAUCUGACAGCACACAGCAGCACUCCCAAUGCCAAGGAGACCAUCUGGCAGUGUGAAACAGCACCCCACACCCCCAGAUGAGCAUCUGAAAGCCUACAACUAGCCCCUGCCCGAGAUGAGCAUCUCACAGCCUGGAACUCCACGCCCACUGCCAGGUGAGCAUCUGAUGGCCUGGAACAGCACCACACAUCCCCAGGUGAGCCUCUGACAGCCUGGAACAGCACCCUCCACCUUCAGGUGAGAAUAUGACAGCCUGAAACAGCACCCCACACCCCAGGCAACAAUCUGACAGCAUGGAACAAGACCACCGCCCCCAGGUGAACAUCUGAUAGCCUGGAACAGAACCCCAGUUCUCCAAGUAAGCAUCUGAAAGCAAGGAACAGCACUCUCACCCCCAGGGGAGCAUCUGACAACCUAGAACAGCACCCUCACCCCGAGGUGGGCAUCUGGCAGCAUAAAACAGCACCCCUACUGGCAGAUGAGCAUAUGACAGCCUGGAACAGCACCCCACAGCCCCAGGUGAGCAUCUGGGUCCGGCACCUGUAGGCAGUUUCCAAGGAUCCCUUGUGGCCACAUCCAGCUGUUAAAUGGGCAUGUCCCUGGCAGCCACAGAUGUCUGUCCAGUGCAGGAAAGUCUGUCCAGUGCAGGAAAGGGCAGGCAGAGAGCUGGCUCCCAGCCCCAAA